This 334-nucleotide long non-coding RNA is filed under the name Elaeis guineensis (African oil palm). RNAcentral's name for it is "long non-coding RNA (EGUI_LNC011064)". Lineage: Eukaryota; Viridiplantae; Streptophyta; Magnoliopsida; Arecales; Arecaceae. The record is from RNAcentral.
CCUCCACCGGAACUCCACCUCGCUCUGGGCUCCGCCUGGCUCCCGAAGCUCUACCUCACACUGGGCUCCCCGCCAGGUAAUUAUAUCCUCUGCUCCCCUUCUUCCCCUCCAGCACAAUCCUAUCGCCGCGUAGCACCCUCAGGAUUCCUCCACCAGCUACCAUCCUAUAGCCUCUCGAAUCCAGUCUGCUAAGUGAGAUAAGAUUCUGUCUGAAAUUAGAUAUGUAUCGGAUCUCCCCCAAUCUUCUUACUACACCAUCAUGUGUCGUCCAGCUGACCGUCCCAAUGCCUCCGAUCGCACGCUCGAUCUAUCCGACAGAUAUACAGUGCCUUCA